GUUGUGUCCCAUUUGAUACGUGGAUUUCGGAUCGGCGUUGUGUUCUUCAAUGAUGCUGUGGAUCCUCUCGAAGUUGGAUUUGGACUUUCCAUAUUCAGCUUUGGUCUUGAUUCCCAACGGGCUAUAAAGUUUUACCAAAUAUUGUUGCCAAGCGUCUUCCACGUCGCCGUACUGAACGUACGUACACGUAACCCCACAGACAACUACCAGCAAGGCGAUAAGGAAGCCGAGCUGCAAUCAGUUUUCCUGGCCGUGGGCGACAGUUAAUAUCCGGUUGUAACUAUUUAGAUAGAACUGGUUUUCUUCUGGGCGUGGCCUUUUUUUAGUUUGUUAUUUUACCCUUUAACGGCACAUCUUUUUUUAAUGUGAAGGUUUAAGUUAAUGCCUCUUUCCUACAUAAUGUUAUUUGAAAGUGGCAAUUUUUAAAAAAAUAUUUUGAAAUUGAAUUCGCAAAUUUUUGAAUAACUCGAUAAACAUUAAAAACUAUUUUGUGUGUCAUUGCCCAAGGCAGUAAAGGCGUAAAGACCUUCGGUCGCCUUUGCGGUGAUUGUUGAACGCACCCGACCUAUUUGUGAACGAUGAUUGGCAAAUAUUCAAAAAAGAUUUCACGCACUCUGCACAUUUACUCAAUCCCGAAUCGGUCGCUAACUCCAACACACAAUCUGCACUAGUCACUUCCAAGGCCGUCGAAUCAAACCAUUUUCGUCUCUUUUCUUCGAGAGCAGAGAGAGAUAAGAGUUUUGUUGAAGAGUUUCGCUCUCUUGUUUUGUUCAAACAAGUGCUGGGUCCUUCACUUUUCGGAGCCCUGGUUUUCCCAGAUCACGUAACCAUUGGCGGGAAAAUUCAGAAAUCGGCAAUGGCAACAUUGGUUCUUCCCAGUUCUUUUCUUCUUCAACUAAUCAGUCUUCACAAAUGAGAUGAGGAAUUGAGGAUAGUUUGCUGGUUCAUUUUAAUCUUUGGCCAUGCCUCGGUUACUCAAAACUCAGCGUUUCGUCUAGGCUUCCAACUCAUCAUGGUGUUUCCCGUAAUGUUGUUUUUGUUCCUUGAUUGUCCAAAAUCAGUGGCCCCGUCCCCUUAGUACACGUGGUCGUGGCCUAUACUCCCGUGCCAUUCAUGUGGUAAAGCAGCCAAGUCAACGAAAUGCUGAAAUCAUCCCAGAACUCCAACGUAACAUCUGCACCAGAAGUGAGCAUUAUUAGGGCAAUUGUUACAUUGAUCACUUACAACAGCUCAAGCUAUUGGCAACAUCAACCCCUAUAUACCUGAACUACUGAACCUGGGCUACCCAAAAGAGCAGAAAUACCCACCUCCAGUUUACACGUGGAUCAACACUGACCACAACUUCUUAUCUGGCAACAGUCGAACAAAGUUGGUGUUAAAGAAAACCACUAGCCAGUGAGAAGAAUGUCGACAUUAGCGACGAAAAUUGCUGACUCAACGAGCCAGCCCAGUUUUGGCCUACAUGUACCAGAGUUCGAGAAAACUGGAGAUUCUUUUAUACUACCUGCUGGCUCACUUGGAAACCGAGUGCAAACAAAUUUAAAUCAAUCUUCAGACAUGAGACACUGGGUUCAUUUGGGACUGGUAUAAAUGCAAAUAACACUUCUCCCAUAAGAGCCGCUGUUGAAAUUGUGUGUUUCGAGUGUCAUCUCUUCGAAUUCUAUUUUCUUAAUGGAGAGGUUAUUAGCUACUACCGAGCGACGAGAAAUAUUAAUAUUUCUUCCGGACGAGAAUUUCCACUGUUAAUCAAUUAGGCAAGCAAGGUACCUACUCAGGUGUAAACGGAUCGAUCCUUAAUGAAACAGACAUGUGGAGCGGAAUUCCGGCACUGCAUCCUCCUCUUCUCCACUUCUUCCCUUUUCGCUUUCCCUCCGUCCUUAUAUGUGAAUUUAUUCACAAGGGCGCUUAUUCCUCCUACUCCUUUCACUUGUGGUGCUAAUGGAUGCAUCCAUACCAAUACUGUUACGGAAUCUAAGAGGAUUUGGCCGUCGGCUGAAGGUAACGGCUCAAAUUUUAAUUAAAAUCCUGAGGUGCUGGAUGAAGCAUUGACUGCGGGAUGGGUUGUUUUUUCCGAUUUUUCUUCUUUUAGCGUUCUUCUAACAUUUUUUUUUCAUCCACUGGCGCAACGUUACUCUCUGCCUAGCAUUACUGAAAUCUUCCAUUUCCAUCCAGGCAUGUCAAACACUUUCAGUUGGAAAGAUUGAGGCUUUCAUUUGUCAUUUUCUAUUCCAGUGGCUAUUUGCGAUUUAAUCCUUUUUUAAAAUUGGUUUUUCCUCCAGUGAGUCUUUUCAAAAUUCAAAAUAACAAUAUUGAGUAAUAGAUAAUGGGUUCCUUUUCAAUGUGUGUCGCUUGCUUCUGCCCAUGUAUUUUUUUUACUAUUUGCUGAUGGCACAAGUUUGUAGCCAUUUCAGUGAGUUAUUUUCCAUGGGCGAUCUGGGGUUGAUUUUAGUGACAAGUUGAGUCGUCAUCCACUCUGCAGAAGUUUCUAGACAUGGUACUUGAACAUUCAACUUUAAAAAUCAGUGUUGAAAACUUUGAAUUCCUUGCGAUACCAGUAACUACCUCACGUGCACGGUAUUAAUGAACCUGGUUCCCUUUUCGUAUGAUUUCACUUGCAAUUAAACAAAUAAUGAAAUAAAUAAAUAACCAGUGAAUGGAGAAUUUCAUAGAUAAGUCACUAUAGCG
This is a long non-coding RNA of Daphnia pulicaria, 2685 nucleotides long. RefSeq lists it as uncharacterized. The record is from RefSeq and is a predicted model, not a curated record. The transcript has 8 exons. NCBI's taxonomy places the organism in Eukaryota, Metazoa, Arthropoda, Branchiopoda, Diplostraca, Daphniidae.